This 1271-nucleotide ribosomal RNA is filed under the name Limosilactobacillus fermentum. RNAcentral describes it as "bacterial SSU rRNA". It matches the Rfam family "Bacterial small subunit ribosomal RNA", at positions 132 to 1389 of the family's 1533-position model. Lineage: Bacteria; Bacillati; Bacillota; Bacilli; Lactobacillales; Lactobacillaceae. The record is from RNAcentral.
AGAAGCGGGGGACAACAUUUGGAAACAGAUGCUAAUACCGCAUAACAACGUUGUUCGCAUGAACAACGCUUAAAAGAUGGCUUCUCGCUAUCACUUCUGGAUGGACCUGCGGUGCAUUAGCUUGUUGGUGGGGUAACGGCCUACCAAGGCGAUGAUGCAUAGCCGAGUUGAGAGACUGAUCGGCCACAAUGGGACUGAGACACGGCCCAUACUCCUACGGGAGGCAGCAGUAGGGAAUCUUCCACAAUGGGCGCAAGCCUGAUGGAGCAACACCGCGUGAGUGAAGAAGGGUUUCGGCUCGUAAAGCUCUGUUGUUAAAGAAGAACACGUAUGAGAGUAACUGUUCAUACGUUGACGGUAUUUAACCAGAAAGUCACGGCUAACUACGUGCCAGCAGCCGCGGUAAUACGUAGGUGGCAAGCGUUAUCCGGAUUUAUUGGGCGUAAAGAGAGUGCAGGCGGUUUUCUAAGUCUGAUGUGAAAGCCUUCGGCUUAACCGGAGAAGUGCAUCGGAAACUGGAUAACUUGAGUGCAGAAGAGGGUAGUGGAACUCCAUGUGUAGCGGUGGAAUGCGUAGAUAUAUGGAAGAACACCAGUGGCGAAGGCGGCUACCUGGUCUGCAACUGACGCUGAGACUCGAAAGCAUGGGUAGCGAACAGGAUUAGAUACCCUGGUAGUCCAUGCCGUAAACGAUGAGUGCUAGGUGUUGGAGGGUUUCCGCCCUUCAGUGCCGGAGCUAACGCAUUAAGCACUCCGCCUGGGGAGUACGACCGCAAGGUUGAAACUCAAAGGAAUUGACGGGGGCCCGCACAAGCGGUGGAGCAUGUGGUUUAAUUCGAAGCUACGCGAAGAACCUUACCAGGUCUUGACAUCUUGCGCCAACCCUAGAGAUAGGGCGUUUCCUUCGGGAACGCAAUGACAGGUGGUGCAUGGUCGUCGUCAGCUCGUGUCGUGAGAUGUUGGGUUAAGUCCCGCAACGAGCGCAACCCUUGUUACUAGUUGCCAGCAUUAAGUUGGGCACUCUAGUGAGACUGCCGGUGACAAACCGGAGGAAGGUGGGGACGACGUCAGAUCAUCAUGCCCCUUAUGACCUGGGCUACACACGUGCUACAAUGGACGGUACAACGAGUCGCGAACUCGCGAGGGCAAGCAAAUCUCUUAAAACCGUUCUCAGUUCGGACUGCAGGCUGCAACUCGCCUGCACGAAGUCGGAAUCGCUAGUAAUCGCGGAUCAGCAUGCCGCGGUGAAUACGUUCCCGGGCCUUGUACACA